Molecule: ribosomal RNA, 469 nt
Filed under: Pseudomonas sp. Leaf98
Lineage: Bacteria; Pseudomonadati; Pseudomonadota; Gammaproteobacteria; Pseudomonadales; Pseudomonadaceae
Description: bacterial LSU rRNA
Rfam family: Bacterial large subunit ribosomal RNA
Source: RNAcentral
GUUAUAUGGUCAAGUGAAGAAGCGCAUACGGUGGAUGCCUUGGCAGUCAGAGGCGAUGAAAGACGUGGUAGCCUGCGAAAAGCUUCGGGGAGUCGGCAAACAGACUUUGAUCCGGAGAUGUCUGAAUGGGGGAACCCAGCCAUCAUAAGAUGGUUAUCUUACGCUGAAUACAUAGGCGUAAGAGGCGAACCAGGGGAACUGAAACAUCUAAGUACCCUGAGGAAAAGAAAUCAACCGAGAUUCCCUUAGUAGUGGCGAGCGAACGGGGACUAGCCCUUAAGUGGCUUUGAGAUUAGCGGAACGCUCUGGAAAGUGCGGCCAUAGUGGGUGAUAGCCCUGUACGCGAAAAUCUCUUAGUCAUGAAAUCGAGUAGGACGGAGCACGAGAAACUUUGUCUGAAUAUGGGGGGACCAUCCUCCAAGGCUAAAUACUACUGACUGACCGAUAGUGAACUAGUACCGUGAGGGAA